Molecule: long non-coding RNA, 453 nt
Organism: Culex pipiens pallens (northern house mosquito)
Lineage: Eukaryota; Metazoa; Arthropoda; Insecta; Diptera; Culicidae
Exons: 3
Source: RefSeq, a predicted model, not a curated record
CCUAAAGUGUCCACAUGGUUUAUGGAUCUCCCCUAACGUGAUCGCAGCACCUAAGAGGUCCUAAUAAAAAUAAGUGACGAGUGAAAAAACAGACUUCCUACAGACUUUUUGUCAAGAUUAUACAGACACCGCCUUUCAGGAAAAUGGCAUCCCUCUACAAGGCUUAUUUUGUGGCGAUCAGACGGGACCAUUUGAGGAUAUGUAAAUUCAGACCAUUUUUUAAACUGCUUGUAAUUUUAGAUAGAUAUCAACUCGGUUCGACCUGCAGCUUGUAGAGGACAUCUGGGACUACCAUCUGAGACUGAGAACGCUUUGGUUAUCCAACCUUGAGCAUAUGUUGUUGGUGAUCACACCAAUCCAGAAGCACAAACACUUUUCUUCACAACACUGAUGAUGAUUUUCAAUGAACAACCUUCUCCUGUGGUUUCCCGAUCGCAACUGGAUUCACUGAGC